This 245-nucleotide ribosomal RNA is filed under the name uncultured bacterium. Its description in RNAcentral is "partial 16S ribosomal RNA". It matches the Rfam family "Bacterial small subunit ribosomal RNA", at positions 113 to 353 of the family's 1533-position model. The record is from RNAcentral.
CAACGUGGGUAACCUGCCUUAUAGUGGGGGAUAGCCUUUCGAAAGGAAGAUUAAUACCGCAUAAGAUUGUAGUAUCGCAUGAUAUAGCAAUUAAAGGAAGCAAUCCGCUAUAAGAUGGACCCGCGUCGCAUUAGCUAGUUGGUGAGGUAAUGGCUCACCAAGGCGACGAUGCGUAGCCGACCUGAGAGGGUGAUCGGCCACAUUGGGACUGAGACACGGUCCAGACUCCUACGGGAGGCAGCAUG